GCUGGGCAUGGUGGCAUGUGCCUGUAGCCCCAGCUAAUCGGGAGGCUGGGACAGGAGGAGCUCCCACUUGAGCCUCGGAGCUCUGAGCUGUAGCGUGCUAUGCCGAUCCAGUGUCUACACUAAGCUCAGCAUCAAUAUGCUGACCUCCCAGGAGUGGGAGACCACCUGGUUGCCUAAGGAGGGCUGAACUGGGCCAGGUCAGAAAUGGAGCAGGUCAAAACUCCAACGCUGAUCAGCAGUGAGACUGCACAUGUGAAUCACUGCCUCCCAGCCUGGGCAACGUAAUGAGACUCUGUCUCU
RNAcentral lists this signal recognition particle RNA (300 nucleotides) under Prolemur simus (greater bamboo lemur). RNAcentral's name for it is "Metazoan signal recognition particle RNA (ENSPSMG00000007714.1)". It matches the Rfam family "Metazoan signal recognition particle RNA". Rfam says of the family: The signal recognition particle (SRP) is a universally conserved ribonucleoprotein. It is involved in the co-translational targeting of proteins to membranes. The eukaryotic SRP consists of a 300-nucleotide 7S RNA and six proteins: SRPs 72, 68, 54, 19, 14, and 9. Lineage: Eukaryota; Metazoa; Chordata; Mammalia; Primates; Lemuridae. The record is from RNAcentral.